RNAcentral lists this unclassified non-coding RNA (250 nucleotides) under fungal sp. Its description in RNAcentral is "partial internal transcribed spacer region". The stretch from base 1 to 46 matches the Rfam family "Eukaryotic small subunit ribosomal RNA", at positions 1786 to 1831 of the family's 1831-position model. The record is from RNAcentral. Lineage: Eukaryota; Fungi.
AAGUCGUAACAAGGUUUCCGUAGGUGAACCUGCGGAAGGAUCAUUAAUGAAUUAUAAGGGUGCUCUCUCUCAUCAGAGAGGCCCGAACUCUUCAUUCUUCUACACUGUGCAUUAUAAUGUGUUUUCCUGAAUUGCAAUUGAGUUUGUAAUGAGGGAACUCACACCCCUUUUUAAACUCUAAACAAGUCUAAGAAUGAAUACAAAAAACCAAAAUAUAAAAAAACUUUCAACAACGGAUCUCUUGGCUCUC